UGGGGAAUCUUGCGCAAUGGGCGAAAGCCUGACGCAGCCAUGCCGCGUGAAUGAUGAAGGUCUUAGGAUUGUAAAAUUCUUUCACCGGGGACGAUAAUGACGGUACCCGGAGAAGAAGCCCCGGCUAACUUCGUGCCAGCAGCCGCGGUAAUACGAAGGGGGCUAGCGUUGCUCGGAAUUACUGGGCGUAAAGGGAGCGUAGGCGGACAUUUAAGUCAGGGGUGAAAUCCCGGGGCUCAACCUCGGAACUGCCUUUGAUACUGGGUGUCUUGAGUGUGAUAGAGGUAUGUGGAACUCCGAGUGUAGAGGUGAAAUUCGUAGAUAUUCGGAAGAACACCAGUGGCGAAGGCGACAUACUGGAUCAUUACUGACGCUGAGGCUCGAAAGCGUGGGGAGCAAACAGGAUUAGAGUACCCUGGUAGUCCACGCCGUAAACGAUGAUUGCUAGUUGUCGGGGUGUUUACACCUCGGUGACGCAGCUAACGCAUUAAGCAAUCCGCCUGGGGAGUACGGUCGCAAGAUUAAAACUCAAAUGAAUUGACGGGGUCAUAGCUGUUUCCU
This 561-nucleotide ribosomal RNA is filed under the name uncultured bacterium. RNAcentral describes it as "partial 16S ribosomal RNA". It matches the Rfam family "Bacterial small subunit ribosomal RNA", at positions 355 to 1375 of the family's 1533-position model. The record is from RNAcentral.